This 253-nucleotide ribosomal RNA is filed under the name uncultured bacterium. Its description in RNAcentral is "partial 16S ribosomal RNA". It matches the Rfam family "Bacterial small subunit ribosomal RNA", at positions 524 to 776 of the family's 1533-position model. The record is from RNAcentral.
UACGUAGGCAGCGAGCGUUGUUCGGAGUUACUGGGCGUAAAGCGUGCGUAGGCGGUUGUCUAAGUUUGGUGUGAAAUCUCCCGGCUUAACUGGGAGGGUGCGCCGAAAACUGGGUGACUGGAGUGUCGGAGAGGUAAGCGGAAUUCCUGGUGUAGCGGUGAAAUGCGUAGAUAUCAGGAGGAACACCGAUGGCGAAGGCAGGUCUCUGGGCUGACACUGACGCUCAUGCACGAAAGCGUGGGGAGCAAACAGG